This is a long non-coding RNA of Lathyrus oleraceus (garden pea), 670 nucleotides long. RefSeq lists it as uncharacterized. The record is from RefSeq and is a predicted model, not a curated record. NCBI's taxonomy places the organism in Eukaryota, Viridiplantae, Streptophyta, Magnoliopsida, Fabales, Fabaceae. The transcript has 2 exons.
AACUGAACAUACAAACAAAGCCAGGUCCGGACUUUAAACAUGAUGAUUCUUCAGCUACACGGAAACCAAUGCGUCUCCCUUCUCUGUCGCGUUCUCUGAUUCUCACUCUUUUAUCUCAAAGUUCGAUUGAAAUUCGAAGCAAGAAUCGUAUCCUACUGAGGUUCAUCGAUCACAAUCCUGAAUCCGCCGCGAACUCCAUCGAAGAUGAAUGAUAAAUGGCACAUCGGAGGGAAACCAACCAAAGAACGUAAUCGAGUCAAGAGGAGAGGCAAAAAACUCACCGUGGUCGAACUCCGACGCGCGACGAAUCUCUGAUGAAAAAGGGGCAGGUUAGCUUGCUUGCAGGUCAUGGAAUUAAACAUAAUUUCAAGGCAUGGCAAAACAAACCAAGUCAUGCUUUUUUCCUUUGAAGAAACUUACACAUGAAGCAACUUGGCAUGUGAGAUCUAGGGGUAAGACGAAGAAUCAAGUGAAGAUUAGGAUUAGGUUCAUGGAUUAGGUGGGUUGACUUUGGUCAAAGUUGACAAAAAAGUCAAUCAUUGACCAAAGUUAAUAUUUGAUCAAAAUUAUUAUUUUUGUAAUUUUCUUAUUAAAUGAUGUAAGUAUGAUUGGAAUGUACAUUUUUAUUAAUGGUUCUUUUUAUUUCAAAUGCAAAGAAACUUUCAAAUAA